Molecule: long non-coding RNA, 2531 nt
Organism: Aegilops tauschii subsp. strangulata
Lineage: Eukaryota; Viridiplantae; Streptophyta; Magnoliopsida; Poales; Poaceae
Source: RefSeq, a predicted model, not a curated record
UAAAGGAUAUAAUUGUGGAGGCAUCACCGCUAGCUGAAAAGCCCGAAACAAGAGAUGUGCUUGGCUAUGAGGAGAGACAAGCUGUUGAGGCGAAUCGCAACCACAUUGCAUUGGCGGGCACAAACGUCAACAUUUGAGGCAGAGAUGGUUGACAACGAGAACAGUGUGACCCUUUCUGGUAACUGGGAUGCACUUGCUGACCGUCGGCUCCGAGCAACAAACCUGGUUCCCAUGCUCAAGUAGGGAGAAGGCAUCAUAUGAAGGACUGAGUAAAAGGACAAGGUUCUACAGCAUCUGCAAACUGCUAGGUCAUAAGAAGACUACCUGCCCUGAGGGAGGUGACAUGUUAAACAGCCUCGCAAACCUGCAAGCUGCAAGAAUUGUGGCAUCGCUGGACACGGUCGCACUACGUGCGCCAUGCUGCUGGGUGCUGCUGCAUCUUAAGAGUUCCGACAGUCAUGUACGAUAACUCUGAAUUUCAAAUUUGAAGGAUUUUCUAGUGUGUGAUUUCUGCAUGGACAUGACGCUUGUUCCUCCUUGAGUAUAAGCUAUGUAUGUCAAACGAUGCUGAACUAUGUGGAGUGGUAAAAUUUUGUUUCGGCACCAUUGAUGUCGCUUGAGACAAAUAUGAUUUAAAAAAAAAUUGCACUAAGGCACCGAUUGGAUUGAGUUUUCCACCAAAAUACCUCCAUAAGAAAAAGUCAGGUGAGUUGGUUCCAAGUGCUUGGUUCGUCGUUGUAUUGGGUCUGUAUUAUUUACGCUGGUAUUCCCUGUUACGUUCGUAUGCGGCAGGUUUAAGAUACACGCUUCUACACAUCGUUUCUUUUCCGGGCGGAAAUCUCCUGUGGCCGGUAUUACACGCCUGUAAACUAAAUCCGGCAGUAUACUGUUACAGGGAAGCAGGGUCUUACUAUGUUGUGAAACUUUCCCUGGGCGGGUGCUCCAAUUACUUAUCUACCGGCUGGGCUGGUAGAUGGUCGUUAGGUGAACGUCAAGCCGGAAUGGCUCAGGCACAGAAAAAGGGCUGAUCCAUCCGACUGCAUCCUGUACCGGAACGGCAGAGUUGUUGGGUCGCAUAUUAAUGAGCGGGUUCCAGCCUGGAAUGCAUCUACAAUACGGCUGCCGUGUACAGACCAAAAUACAUCAAACACAUGGAUCCCGAGGACAGCGGGCAGGCGAGAUAACAGGCUCAGUUGUGCUCAUGAUCAGAAGCGAAUUUUCAUUUGAAGGUGCACCUUUAGUUAUUAACCAAUACAUGUAUUGUUCAUGUCUUCUACUCCCUCUGUAAAGAAAUAUCUAUCUUAUAUUUGAAGGCACAUCUUUUACUCUCUCUGUAAAGAAAUAUAAGAUAGAUAUUUCUUUACAGAGGGAGUACAUAGUUCUUCGAACCCAAAAGUAUCACUAUGUAGAUGAAUUGUAUGAUGGGUUACAAACUUUACUUAUAAGACUACAUGAACUGCUAAUUACUUCUUUUAAUAAAAGAUGAUCUACUCUAAUCUCGACUUGGUUUGUGUCAUGUUGGGAGGUGGAUGGGAGGCCAUUCCAAAGGAUUGUUUUGGCAGACUGCGCCAACUGGAAUUUAAAGUAUAUAUGGUCAUUCAACGCAUCAUGCGAGGAGUCAAAUGACAAGGCAACUGAACCAAUCAAUACGUAGUAUGCCUUAGUAGAACUAUAUAGGUUUCUUACAACUCUACUCUUUGUAAUGAACCUGAUGCAGAUAUGUUAUCUUGGGCAACCACUGUGCUUUGCUUCUGGAACAGAUUAAAAUUUCCUCUUUGCUAUGUGCUUGCAGAACAAUUAGUUCACUGCUUGUACCUCAACUGCUUUUGGUAUAUCUUCAUGGUCUGCCAUCGAUACUAAACUUACUGAAACUGAACAAUUACUCGAAUUUCCUUUUGAUGUACCAAAUGUUUUAUUAUAUUGAAGUCUUAUAUGUUGCGCCACGGCAUGCAUGUAUUUUAGAUGUGACUCCUUUAUUCUCAGUUAGUUGCAUCAGCUUGCACUUAUUAUGUCCUUCCAUGCCUACUUACAUGAGUGUGUCACUUAUAUUGUUCAUGGUGUCUGGGGGCUGAUCAUUAUACAACCAUUGUGGCCUAUCAAUAAAUGUUAGGAUGAUAGAGAGAUUGAUCAGUCUUUCUCGGAUAAUAUAUGGUUUUACUUACUGUUGUUAUAUACUUUCUUCAGAUAUAGGCCUGCUACCAUGUCUUUUCUCGCUGGACACGCCUUCCGAUGGCGACAGUGAGGACUUCUAUCCCGCUCGUCUCCCAGCAAGGCAUCUCUACCUCCCUCCUGCAGAGAUACCCGAAGACCGUCUUGGACUCUUCCUUCUUCAGUGUUUCCUCUUUUUGUUACACAACUUUGUGGUGCUUAGUGCAUGUAUCAUCCCCUCCUAUCAAUUCAUUCUGAAAGAAAGAGAUGGAGGGUUGGUAGUGUUUAUGGGAAAUGGUUGCAUUUUACAAAAAAAAAUGUGUCUUUGUUGACCGGUUUUGCUCGAGAUUAAAAAGUCUUGCCUACUAUUGGUGCCAAGCUCU